Molecule: ribosomal RNA, 491 nt
Filed under: uncultured bacterium
Lineage: Bacteria
Description: partial 16S ribosomal RNA
Rfam family: Bacterial small subunit ribosomal RNA
Source: RNAcentral
GUGAACGCUGGCGGUAGGCCUAACACCUGCAAGUCGAACGGCAGCACAGUAAGAGCUUGCUCUUACGGGUGGCGAGUGGCGGACGGGUGAGGAAUACAUCUGAAUCUACUUUUUCGUGGGGGAUAACGUAGGGAAACUUACGCUAAUACCGCAUACGACCUACGGGUGAAAGCAGGGGAUCUUCGGACCUUGCGCGAUUGAAUGAGCCGAUGUCGGAUUAGCUAGUUGGCGGGGUAAAGGCCCACCAAGGCGACGAUCCGUAGCUGGUCUGAGAGGAUGAUCAGCCACACUGGAACUGAGACACGGUCCAGACUCCUACGGGAGGCAGCAGUGGGGAAUAUUGGACAAUGGGCGCAAGCCUGAUCCAGCCAUACCGCGUGGGUGAAGAAGGCCUUCGGGUUGUAAAGCCCUUUUGUUGGGAAAGAAAAGCAGCAGGUUAAUACCCCGCUGUUCUGACGGUACCCAAAGAAUAAGCACCGGCUAACUUCGUG